Molecule: ribosomal RNA, 468 nt
Filed under: uncultured bacterium
Lineage: Bacteria
Description: partial 16S ribosomal RNA
Rfam family: Bacterial small subunit ribosomal RNA
Source: RNAcentral
GACGAACGCUGGCGGCGUGCUUAACACAUGCAAGUCGAACGGAAAGGCCCUGCUUUUGUGGGGUGCUCGAGUGGCGAACGGGUGAGUAACACGUGAGUAACCUGCCCUUGACUUUGGGAUAACUUCAGGAAACUGGGGCUAAUACCGGAUAGGAGCUCCUGCUGCAUGGUGGGGUUUGGAAAGUUUCGGCGGUUGGGGAUGGACUCGCGGCUUAUCAGCUUGUUGGUGGGGUAGUGGCUUACCAAGGCUUUGAUGGGUAGCCGGCCUGAGAGGGUGACCGGCCACAUUGGGACUGAGAUACGGCCCAGACUCCUACGGGAGGCAGCAGUGGGGAAUAUUGCACAAUGGGCGGAAGCCUGAUGCAGCAACGCCGCGUGCGGGAUGACGGCCUUCGGGUUGUAAACCGCUUUCGCCUGUGACGAAGCGUGAGUGACGGUAAUGGGUAAAGAAGCACCGGCUAACCACGUG